RNAcentral lists this ribosomal RNA (306 nucleotides) under Triticum aestivum (bread wheat). Its description in RNAcentral is "partial small subunit ribosomal RNA". Lineage: Eukaryota; Viridiplantae; Streptophyta; Magnoliopsida; Poales; Poaceae. The record is from RNAcentral.
UGUUCAAACCUGGUGGUAAAGACCUACAAAAAGUUUGAGGUGGAAAUUUACGUCCUUGCCAAGGAUGAAGGUGGUCGCCACACUGCCUUCUUCUCAAAUUACAACCCAUAGUUCUACUUCAGGACAGCUGACAUAUGUGGGAAAAUUGAGUUUCCUCCGGACGUGAAGAUUGUUAUGCCUGGUGACAACAUAACUGCAAUCUUUGAGUUGAUGUUGCCUGUUCCACUCGAACCAGGGCUAAGAUUUGCGCUGAGGGAAGGAGGGAGGACCGUCGGCUCCGGAGUCAUUGCCGAAGUCAUGAUCUAA